GUUGCAAAAGAAGUAGGUAGCUUAACCUUCGGGAGGGCGCUUACCACUUUGUGAUUCAUGACUGGGGUGAAGUCGUAACAAGGUAACCGUAGGGGAACCUGCGGUUGGAUCACCUCCUUACCAAAAAGAUGUGUGUUAAGUGAAGUGCUCACACAGAUUGUCUGAUGAA
Molecule: ribosomal RNA, 169 nt
Filed under: Pectobacterium parvum
Lineage: Bacteria; Pseudomonadati; Pseudomonadota; Gammaproteobacteria; Enterobacterales; Pectobacteriaceae
Description: partial 16S ribosomal RNA
Rfam family: Bacterial small subunit ribosomal RNA (bases 1-120)
Source: RNAcentral